RNAcentral lists this long non-coding RNA (710 nucleotides) under Salmo salar (Atlantic salmon). RNAcentral's name for it is "lncRNA (ENSSSAG00000120910.1)". Lineage: Eukaryota; Metazoa; Chordata; Actinopteri; Salmoniformes; Salmonidae. The record is from RNAcentral.
GGCUGAAACACAUUAUCGCCUUUCUCAAGUGGCCCAUCAAGAGACACUAGCUUAUGCGCGUGACCCCGACCGCCUCCGCCUUUGGGAUUUUUUUCCUCUGUUUGCCGAAAAGGAGAUUCCCUGUCGGAAUUUUACCGCUUUUCUACGAGAAAAAUGACGUAAAAAUUGAUUUUAAACAGCGGUUGACAUGCUUCGACGUACGGCAAUUGAAUACUUUGAAUUUUAUUGUCAGGAAUUGCGCCAAGCGCGCGACACUUCUUUACUAUUUCGGAUAGUGUCUGGAACGCAUACGAACAAAACGCCGCUAUUCGGAUAUAACGAUGGAUUAUUUUGGACCAAACCAACAUUUGUUAUUGAAGUAGACGUCCUGGGUGUGCAUUCUGACGAAGACAACAAAAGCCAACUCCAAAGAGACUACUUUCAAGUCCUCCAUCCCCCACUCAUUCAAACGUAGGAACGGGUUCCUCCAGUCUGACCCCUCUGCUGUCUCUGCCUCCAUACCCACCUGCAGCCCGGCCAUCUAGAUGUGUGAAGGUUAGCACCUUUUAUGUAGGGAAGCUAAGGAUCCAUCAUGUAUAACAUUCCUGGGAGUUUGUAAACUCACAUGUUUUAUUACCAUAGCAUGUUUGUAUGUUCUCUAUAGUUAUGUACUUGGACAAGUAUCAGUUUACCAAUUCGGCCACUUGGGUACAUUUGGGCAAACUCGUGAG